GCAGUCGUGGCCGAGUGGUUAAGACGACAGACUAGAAAUCUGUUGGGGUCUCCCCGCACAGGUUCGAAUCCUGUCGACUGCG
This 82-nucleotide transfer RNA is filed under the name Lingula anatina. RNAcentral describes it as "tRNA-Ser". It matches the Rfam family "tRNA". Rfam says of the family: Transfer RNA (tRNA) molecules are approximately 80 nucleotides in length. Lineage: Eukaryota; Metazoa; Brachiopoda; Lingulata; Lingulida; Lingulidae. The record is from Rfam by way of RNAcentral.